UGCCACGCCCCUAUAAUGUGCCUUUAAAAGCCCAAGACCGUCGCUAGGCACAGACGGAAGUGACUGGAUGUGGAGAGGAGUGUAUCCGCGAAGGAACGCACAAGUGGCCUGACCUGCAGAAGAACGCUAGCUAGGCACUAGGCAUGCCGGCAAGGUCAGCUGAGAGCUGACCCCAGUGCAACGUGGAGGAGUUUGGUUGGGGCAGUCGGAGGAGCACCUGGGCCGCCAAGCGGCCAGACUUCGGGGGAAAGCCAUCUCUCUUCUGGCGCCUUUAUCGGCAGAGAGCUACUUGUACUCAAAACCUUGCACUCAUUCUCCAAGCCCACGUGGGUAAGAUUCACCCACACUGCGGAGGGCGUCGGAGCUCCACAGCCUGCCUGUCUGUAUGCUCCCAUAGAGGUUUGAGCAGCGGGGCACUGGAGAAGCAAGUCACACCCCCAUUGCACGCCAUGGGAGUAGGACAAGUGGGCUCCUUGAUCAUAAGAAUUAGGUCCUUUAACAGUUUUGGUUGGAAAAUUCUCAGCUAUUGUUUUUUCAUAUUUGCUUUCUCUUAUUUUCGCCUUAUGAAUUCCAAGUAGAUAGAUGUUGGAACCUCUCAUACCGUCUUUCAUGUGUCUUAAACUCUUUUUACCAUAUUUAUCUUUUGGUAUCUGUGCUUAUGUUAAAAUGUAUCCACAGGAUUUUAAUGUGUAGAGGUGACAGAGUGAGGACAUGGAGCAGUCAGUGCCACUGGGAAGAAAAGUUUAUUACUCAGUUUCCUAGAAGUGAGAGGCAUUGCUUGCUAUGCAGAAACACAUGGGGCAGCCCCAGAGCUGGUCAGGAGGCAGGGUAGGAGUGAAAGAGAAGCACAGGCCAUAGCCGUUUUUGGAGUUUCUGUGGGAAAGUCAAGGCAGGGCACUUCAAUGUGCCCACAAGGCUGCAGACUGCCUAAGUACUGUAUCUGAAGCUCAGUGGUUUCGAUGGUAUCUUUAGAGCCCAAAUUGAUUGAAUACUCACUCUCAAUAAAAUAGGAAUAAAAAUUUGCCUUGUAAAUUUGUUGUAAAAAUAAUGCCUGAUGCGAAGUGCUUAUUAAGUAGCACUUGCUAUUAUUAUUCAGCAUUCUUCAGACUAGAACAUAGUAAAAAAUUUUUUUUAUUAUACUUUAAGUUCCAGGGUACAUGUUCACAAUGUGCAGGUUUGUUACAUAUGUAUACAUGUGCUGCACCAGUUAACUCAUCACUUGUUGGUGUGCUGCAUCCAUUAACUCGUCAUUUACAUUAGGUAUUUCUCCUAAUGCUUUCCCUUCCCCCGCCACCAACCCCCAAUGAUUAGGCUUUGAUAUAUCGAUCAGAAAAAAUAAACGGGUUGAAUAUCUAGUAGAUAUAAAUUACUUUACUUUGAACAAAUAGAGAACAUACUUUCUGUUUGAACACACAUAGAACACAAAAAUUGACCACAUACUACAUUACCAAGAAAGUAAACCUUAACAACUUUUAGAUAACCAGGGUCAUACAUGGUAUAUACUUUGACCAUACAUGUAGUGAAAUUAAAAAAAAAUUGAAAACCCAAAGAAAAGGGGCUGGGCGGGCCGGCCCAGGGCCUGCCUAUGGCCUGAAAGAGAAAACCUGCCACGGAGCCCGGGCUUCUCUGAUCCUCCCGCCAAACUUUGUCUCUCAUUUAGCUUUCUUUGUGUCUGAGGAUUUAGCAAAGGCCUCAGGGAUUCAACAGAGUUGGAUUGCUGAGAAUAAAAUUACGGAUUUCUC
Molecule: long non-coding RNA, 1742 nt
Filed under: Homo sapiens (human)
Lineage: Eukaryota; Metazoa; Chordata; Mammalia; Primates; Hominidae
Description: non-protein coding lnc-FGF9-3:5
Source: RNAcentral